RNAcentral lists this long non-coding RNA (249 nucleotides) under Elaeis guineensis (African oil palm). RNAcentral describes it as "long non-coding RNA (EGUI_LNC016555)". The record is from RNAcentral. Lineage: Eukaryota; Viridiplantae; Streptophyta; Magnoliopsida; Arecales; Arecaceae.
UGUGCUGGAGAGAGAGAGGGAAAGAGAGAUGUUCUACCAACAAGAAAUAGAGGGAGAGAGAGAAUGAAAUAUAUUUUGCCAGAAAGAGGGAAGAGUAGGAAUGAGAGGUGUUUACAUCGAGAGAGUGGAGGGAGAGGAUACGGGAGAUGCUUGCGUCGAAGGGAGAGAGAUAGGGAAUGAGAAUUGUUCUGUCAGUGAGAAACAGAGAAAGAAAGAGAGAAUAAAAUGUAUUUUACCAAUGAAAGUGAA